RNAcentral lists this ribosomal RNA (805 nucleotides) under Salinicola salarius. RNAcentral describes it as "bacterial SSU rRNA". It matches the Rfam family "Bacterial small subunit ribosomal RNA", at positions 598 to 1400 of the family's 1533-position model. The record is from RNAcentral. Lineage: Bacteria; Pseudomonadati; Pseudomonadota; Gammaproteobacteria; Oceanospirillales; Halomonadaceae.
AAAGCCCGGGCUCAACCUGGGAACGGCAUCCGGGAACGGGCCAGGCUAGAGUGCAGGAGAGGAAGGUAGAAUUCCCGGUGUAGCGGUGAAAUGCGUAGAGAUCGGGAGGAAUACCAGUGGCGAAGGCGGCCUUCUGGCCUGACACUGACACUGAGGUGCGAAAGCGUGGGUAGCAAACAGGAUUAGAUACCCUGGUAGUCCACGCCGUAAACGAUGUCGACUAGCCGUUGGGACCUUUAAGGACUUAGUGGCGCAGUUAACGCGAUAAGUCGACCGCCUGGGGAGUACGGCCGCAAGGUUAAAACUCAAAUGAAUUGACGGGGGCCCGCACAAGCGGUGGAGCAUGUGGUUUAAUUCGAUGCAACGCGAAGAACCUUACCUACCCUUGACAUCCAGAGAAGUUGGCAGAGAUGCCUUCGUGCCUUCGGGAGCUCUGAGACAGGUGCUGCAUGGCUGUCGUCAGCUCGUGUUGUGAAAUGUUGGGUUAAGUCCCGUAACGAGCGCAACCCUUGUCCUUAUUUGCCAGCGAGUAAUGUCGGGAACUCUAAGGAGACUGCCGGUGACAAACCGGAGGAAGGUGGGGACGACGUCAAGUCAUCAUGGCCCUUACGGGUAGGGCUACACACGUGCUACAAUGGCCGGUACAAAGGGUUGCGAGACCGCGAGGUGGAGCGAAUCCCAGAAAGCCGGCCUCAGUCCGGAUCGGAGUCUGCAACUCGACUCCGUGAAGUCGGAAUCGCUAGUAAUCGUGAAUCAGAAUGUCACGGUGAAUACGUUCCCGGGCCUUGUACACACCGCCCGUCAC